RNAcentral lists this ribosomal RNA (442 nucleotides) under uncultured bacterium. RNAcentral describes it as "partial 16S ribosomal RNA". It matches the Rfam family "Bacterial small subunit ribosomal RNA", at positions 338 to 795 of the family's 1533-position model. The record is from RNAcentral.
CCUACGGGAGACAGCAGUGGGGAAUAUUGGGCAAUGGGCGCAAGCCUGACCCAGCAACGCCGCGUGAAGGAAGACGGCUUUCGGGGUUUAAACUUCUUUUAAGAGGGAAGAGCAGAAGACUGUAUCUCUUGAAUAAGCCAUGGCUAACUACGUGCCAGCAGCCGCGGUAAUACGUAGGUGGCAAGUGUUGUCCGGAUUUACUGGGUGUAAAGGGCGUGCAGCCGGGAAGACAAGUCAGAUGUGAAAUCCCGGGGCUCAACCGCGGAACUGCAUUUGAAACGGUUGUUCUUGAGUACCGGAGAGGUAAUCGGAAUUCCUGGUGUAGCGGUGAAAUGCGUAGAUAUAAGGAAGAACACCGGUGGCGAAGGCGGAUUACUGGACGGCAACUGACGGUGAGGCACGAAAGCGUGGGGAGCAAACAGGAUUAGAUACCCGGGUAGUC